RNAcentral lists this ribosomal RNA (362 nucleotides) under uncultured bacterium. RNAcentral describes it as "bacterial SSU rRNA". It matches the Rfam family "Bacterial small subunit ribosomal RNA", at positions 131 to 487 of the family's 1533-position model. The record is from RNAcentral.
UGGUAGUGGGGGAUAACGUUCGGAAACGGACGCUAAUACCGCAUANUUCNUACGGGAGAAAGCAGGGGACCUUCGGCCCUUGCGCUAUCAGAUGAGCNUAGGUCGGAUUAGCUAGUUGGUGGGGUAAUGGCUCACCAAGGCGACGAUCCGUAACUGGUCUGAGAGGAUGAUCAGUCACACUGGAACUGAGACACGGUCCAGACUCCUACGGGAGGCAGCAGUGGGGAAUAUUGGACAAUGGGCGAAAGCCUGAUCCAGCCAUGCCGCGUGUGUGAACGAAGGUCUUCGGAUUGUAAAGUACUUUAAGUUGGGAGGAAGGGUUGUAGAUUAAUACUCUGCAAUUUUGACGUUACCGACAGAAU